This 21-nucleotide microRNA is filed under the name Pristionchus pacificus. RNAcentral's name for it is "ppc-miR-57-3p". Its record names the gene ppc-miR-57-3p. Lineage: Eukaryota; Metazoa; Nematoda; Chromadorea; Rhabditida; Neodiplogasteridae. The record is from miRBase by way of RNAcentral.
CACACUCGGUUACCGGGUGCU